UCAUGAUUCCGCCCCCUACCGUGGCUGCCCACCACCCUGCUCACCACACCGUGCGAGGGGGCUAGGGGGAAGGCGCGGUUUCUCUCGCUCAAGUUCCUGGAAGGGACUUCACCAGCACCAGGCUUCUCCCUGUGCCCAGGGCCUCAGGCAGCAGCGGCCUCCACCAACUGAAAGCCCCAGCAAGGGGGCCUGCCAGCACCACCCAGAGCCUGGACCUUGGCUCCAGGGAGCAUCCCUAAUCCAUGACUGUUCAACCAAGUGCUCUGAUUCUGAGUGGCUCAAACCAGGCCGUUUACCUUCCAGUUGCUGAGGUCAGAAAUCCAGGAGCAGGGGUAGGUGUCUGGUCCUGGGUAGGGCCUCUCCUGAGGUGGUCGUCAAGCUGUCAGCCGUGAUGUAUCUCCUGGAACCUGGCCUGGGGCUGCAAGACGUCCUCCCAAGAUGGUGCAUAUACAUUGCAGACUGCCUCGGUUCUCCUCUGCGUGGCCUAGGAUACCUGAGGGCCUCCCCAGCAGGUUCAAUUUUAUAUGGUGACUACAGAGAGAGGAACAGAGACAGAGAGAGAGAUUAAAGAGACAGCGAGCCAGUGAACACAAAGUGUUUAUGAGACAGAAGCUGCAGACCUGUCAUCACCACAUUUUGGAAUUCUUGGACAUUUCAUUAUAGCUGCCGUAGUCCAUUAGUCACUCCUGGGAAUGGGAUUCUACAAGGCCAUGAAGAUAGGAGAUCAUGUUGGAGGUCAUCUUGGAGGUACCCACCACUGACCUUGGGGCAGGUCAGCAUUGUGUUUGCAUUCGUCUUGGGCCACACCCCUGCACUGAGGAGGAGGCUCUCUAUCAGAGGUUCUGAUUGCUCAUUAAUGAUCCCUCUGGUCUUGGGAUCCUUUUCCAGGUUGCCUUCAUAUGUGCUAAGCUGUGUGGUUUUGUACCUCCCGGUGGACCUCCCCAGUGCUCAGGCUACCUGGUGCUCGGUCCAACCUGCUUUUCUUCUUGACAGAGCUGUGUCAGGCUCCAGUGGGGUGGGCUUUUCUUUAUCCGCCUUCCUUGUGGGCACCCAGGAUGGGUUGGUGGGCAGGCUUUGGUUCACUGGGAGGACUUAGGAACUGGCACCUAGGGCCAUCCUGAGCUCAAAACCUCUCUAAGCACUAGCCUCAAUCGUCUCCCUCUUCCCUCAUUUUCUGGGGAUCUUGGGAUGCAGGAACAAAGCUCUCUAUGGGACGGUCUUCUGCUUCCUGAACUUUCCAAAGCGGAAACGUAACAAGCUGAGUUAGGAGGGAAAAGGAGAUGCAACUGUGUCUUGAAGGCCCCCACUUGAAUGAAGAUCUCUUGGACCCAAACCUGUGUCAUUUUAUUGGAUGGACAAUCUGAGCAGGACACCUCCCUUUUCCUAGAAAUGUCUUACCAUGUGACUUUAUGUUGUCCAUUCCUAGCUGGGAAGACAAAAAUUACAUGCCUGACUCUACCCUAA
This is a long non-coding RNA of Hyaena hyaena (striped hyena), 1464 nucleotides long. RefSeq lists it as uncharacterized. Lineage: Eukaryota; Metazoa; Chordata; Mammalia; Carnivora; Hyaenidae. The transcript has 2 exons. The record is from RefSeq and is a predicted model, not a curated record.